UUUGCUUCCUUUUCCCUCACUUUUUUUUUUUUUUUUUUGAGCAAAAGCCGUUAGUAUUUCAAAAUUGAAAUUCUCUCCCUUUAUAUAGCCGUCGCAUAAGCUCCUCCCUAAUUUUUCACUCUCUCUUCUUCUACUUCUUCAACCUCUCUCCAUAUCCUCAUCCUCUGGUCCCUUAGAUGUUAGUUAUUCGCGUCUCCUCCUUGUUGAGUGGGAAUACGGAGGCAGCGUCGUAGGUGUUUACGGUUGCAACGUGGAUCGCUAAGGUAAAGUUUUAAUCACGCACACCAUCUGUUUGUGUUUUGGUUCUUUCUAUAUGGAAUUUGGGUUAAAUUCGAUUUUUUUUUUUUUUUUGGGGUUUUCUGUGGUCUUGGAUGGUCUCCGCAUGUGGGAUAAGGAAUUCCAUUCCGUCUCUCGGAGUUGUUUGUUUAUCAGAAACAGAGCCUGAGUUUUGAGACGUUGAAUGACGUGGUACGGAAUUUUGUCAGUGUGGACAGGACUGUUGAUAUCAACUUCCAAAAUUUUCCAAUUUACAAAUCUCAAAAGAUGCAGCCACUGGAGGAAAAUUCUUAUAAAUUAAACGUUGAUGGAGCUUUCAGGUAAAUCUCUUUCCAUUGGGUUGAAGUAGAGAUUAGAAAUUAUAAGGGCGAAGUUAUGAUAGCCAUGUCAAUACAAAUAAAAAGCAUUGUUUAUCUCCUCUUGCAACGGAUUCAAGAGCUGCAGUGGAUAUAUUAGCUUCAACAAAGGUUGUACUUUAUAAUGGCACCAAAGAGGAACUUGCGAUGUCAACCGAAGAAGGGAGUUAAGAAAGUGGAAAGUAAGAGACGCGGUGGUAGCACAGCAGCACCCGACUCUAAGCGUCGACGAACUACUAGGCAUUAAUCCAAAGCUGAGACGGAAAGCGCCAAACUUCGAGGGCACGUUCCACUUUCCUCUCCCCCAUCUGAUAUGCCCAUCGAUGCUCCAAAGGAACGGAUCUUUCAGGAUGCCGAUAUAUUUAAAGUUAGGGCACAUUCAUUCGGGAAUCCAAUAGAAGCGAACAAAGUAAUUACAAGUGUCCUCACAAGUGAGCAGCUGGAAAAGUAUAGACAAACAUGUUUUGGACAUUUACUUGACAUGAAGAACCUCCGGUUCUCUGGUCAGGUAGUGCAUCACCUGCUUUGUAGACAAGUUGUGUCCAACAAUCCAGAAGUACUGGAGUUUAACUUCGGCGGAUCUUGAGUGCGGUUUACGAAGUGGGAAUUCACACUCAUUAGUGGCUUAAAGUUUUGUAGGUACCCUUCGAUGUAUGAUAUGCAAAUUUCCAAAGGAAAUGAGCUGCUCACGAGGUUGCUAGAUGACAGGACUGACUUGAAACCGCCCGACCUGGAACGACUAUUCAAGGGUACGCUUUUUGUGGAUGAUUGGGAUGUUGUAAGAAUUGCGUUACUAUAUUUCUUAGUUCAUGGUAUACUCGGAAUGGAUCCGAAGGUUCAAAUAAAUAGAAAAUUCAUUGAUUUGGUUGCUGAUAUCGAGGUUUUUAAUUCCUACCCUUGGGGCAUUCUGAGCUACAAGGAGACGAUCAACUCAUUCCACAAUGCAUUCCAGCAUAGAGGACGUGCAGUAAAGAAUAAAUCACAGUAUUAUGACCUAAAAGGUUUUCCAUUGGCGUUUCAGUUGUGGGGGUUUGAAGCAAUCCCUGAUUUUGGUAACCAAUUUGCCGACCGAUGGGAAACCCGUUGUCCGAGGAUCCUUGGAUGGCAUGCUACAAGGCAACCGAACAAUUUUGCUGUCCAUAAUUGGUUCACCUCAAAUAGCAAUUAUGUUGUGCACUGGAGGUUAGAUGCUACCGAUGAGGAGAAGACUUUUGAUACUGGCGAACAAUAGCAGUUAACAUACAUGAAGUUCGCUACACGUCACCUCCACUUGUAGCACCAAUAGUUGGCGCUAAAGAUGUCGGCGCUAAAGAUGUUGGCGCUAAAGAUGCGUCCAAAGCUGAGGAGCAUUCUAGUGGCCCUCCAGAUGCUAAUUUCAGGCUUGCUUGCUUGGAGGCAAAAUUUGAUGAAUUAAAAUAAAGAGAUGGCAGCGUUAAGGAAGGUGCUUAAUUCUGUUAUUGACCAACAAAAGCAUCAGGCCGAACAUCAUAUGCACAGCUAUUCACCGUCAUCUUUGGUUCAACCAUCAUCCCCUGUGGCACCGUCAUUUGGAGAGCAAGCCGAAGAAUUUGAUGCACCCAUAGACGGUUCCAAUGGUAGGAAGGAGGAUGAUGAUUGUACUACACCGUUUGAGCCUAUCGUACCUGAAGGACCCUAUGUGGAGGAUUCCUAGGCUUUGGUGCCAUAUCGGCCUUUACAUUUCGGGUGGGAUAUCGGUGCUUCAGCUGACAGUCCACAUCAUGACCAAUCAGCUGAGAUUGAGGUGGAAGAUUGGACGCAUAACAUUGGUGAUACAAGCCGAUUUGGUAGAGUUUACUACCAGUCACAUCACGUCAUCUCUCUUUACACCGACCCGUGUAAAAAAAAGGUCAAAUUUAAUCUUAAUCGACAUAUUGAUGCAUCGAAGGAGAGGGCAUUCGAUGAGUAAUAUAUGGUGGCACCAAAGGAAGCAACCGUGUGUACAUCUUAUAUGACGGUGGGAAAGAAGUUUUUUGCUGAGCUAUUUACCUCUGAAGGAUGGUUGAAUUUCGAUCAUAUUGACACUAUUUUGUAUUUCAUACGAAAAAGGCGGUUUGAGAAUGAGAAGAUGUUCACCAACACCUGUGCCAUAUUAGACGUGUUAUUUUAGUCAUCCAUCAAAGGGUGUUAUCCCAUAUGGAGGGCAUCUCGUAGCACAUAUUCAUGUGAUGCGACCCUUUGUAGCUAUGUGCGUGGGAAGUCACCCAAACCUAGCGUGCCGUGGCGGAUAUGUGAAUAUUGCACAUCCCUGUCAACAAUGGAGGCGCGCAUUGGUUGGCAGCAUGUGUGGACUUGAAUGCCUGACAUAUUGAUUUAUACGAUCCAAAUAUGGGAAAUAAAUAUGUCUAGAAUAAAGAGUUGAAGAAUGCGGAAUGCCUUACGUAUAUGCUGCCUUACCUAUUGAGGGAUGGGGGAUAUUACGAGAAGAAUCCGGACGUGCCUCCCACUUUAGAUCUAUUCACGAUGACCAUGAUCAAAGAUGCACCCUGCCAAGAUAAUGGGGGUGAUUGUGGCGUCUACGCUUUGAAAUUUAUUGAAUACAAGAGUAGUGAGGAGAAUCCUUCAUUUGGCCCGCAAGACAUUAUGUUUUUUAGAAAAAAAUAUGCUGUUGAUUUGUACUUUAAUAAACUUUCAAUGUAGAUCAUAUGUUUAAUGUUAUGACACUCUAUACUAAUGUUAUCUUAAUAUGCUGAA
Ziziphus jujuba (common jujube) is the source of this 3344-nucleotide long non-coding RNA. RefSeq lists it as uncharacterized. The transcript has 12 exons. NCBI's taxonomy places the organism in Eukaryota, Viridiplantae, Streptophyta, Magnoliopsida, Rosales, Rhamnaceae. The record is from RefSeq and is a predicted model, not a curated record.